CGGGACGGACGGUAGAGAUGGCCUUCCAGGCGCUGCCGGGACGGAUGGAAGAGACGGCUUGCCAGGACGAGAUGGAGUGAAGGGCGAGAAAGGCGACCAGGGCCUUCCGGGUAUCAUGGGAGCCACAGGUGAGAAAGGUAA
Priapulus caudatus is the source of this 141-nucleotide long non-coding RNA. RefSeq lists it as uncharacterized. The transcript is spliced from 2 exons. NCBI's taxonomy places the organism in Eukaryota, Metazoa, Priapulida, Priapulimorpha, Priapulimorphida, Priapulidae. The record is from RefSeq and is a predicted model, not a curated record.